UACGGAAGGCAGCAGUGGGGAAUAUUGCACAAUGGGCGAAAGCCUGAUGCAGCUAUGCCGCGUGUAUGAAGAAGGCCUUAGGGUUGUAAAGUACUUUCAUCGGGGAGGAAAAAACAAAACUAAUAAUUUUAUUUCUUGACGUUACCCGAAAAAGAAGCACCGGCUAACUCCGUGCCAGCAGCCGCGGUAAUACGGAGGGUGCUAGCGUUAAUCAGAAUUACUGGGCGUAAAGAGCACGUAGGUGGUUUUUUUAAAGUUCAGAUGUGAAAUCCCUGGGCUUAACCUAGGAACUGCAUUUUGAAACUGAAAUACUAGAGUAUCGUAGAGGGAGGUAGAAUUCUAGGUGUAGCGGUGAAAUGCGUAGAUAUCUGGAGGAAUACCUGUGGCGAAAGCGGCCUCCUAAACGAAAUACUGACACUGAGGUGCGAAAAGCGUGGGGAGCAAAACAGGGAUUAGAUACC
Molecule: ribosomal RNA, 461 nt
Filed under: uncultured bacterium
Lineage: Bacteria
Description: bacterial SSU rRNA
Rfam family: Bacterial small subunit ribosomal RNA
Source: RNAcentral